UUCUUUCUCUCUCAAAAUCUCCCUUUCAUAAAUCUUUUCCCAUAUCUCAAUCUAUAUUCUCUCCCCCCCCCCCUCUCUCUCUCUUUCAAAAUUUCCCUAUCACUCUUGCACCACCACCGUGCUACUUCUACACCGCCAUCACGCCACCACUGCCUUGUCUUCUUCGAUCGUGUUUUCAAUCAUCACUCUAUACAACAACGUUAGCCACAUAUAAUGUUGUUUGUCUUCUAUGUCGCAUUUGCGCUCUUGAUGCUUCUGUGAUAUCCUCCAUCUAAGUCUUCAACUUCUCUCUGAAUAUCACAUUUGUGGCCUAAUUUAUGUUAUGCAUAAGUUUGAAAUGUUUGAAGUGACAGAAGUUGUGGUGUCUAUAUGUUAGCCGUCUCUUAGAUAUAAUUGUAGAGAUCAUUUACCAAACUAUAUAGGUAACUCAUGAAAUAGGAAGUUCCUCUAGCUUUUAAAGGAUGUCAUAAGGGUGCUUGCAAACACAGAAGACUAAUGAAGUUGGAAUCAAUCUCGUUUGCUACUGGAUUCUUUCACCCUGCUAGUUAGUCUGCUUUAUGGGGAACCGCCUCGGAAUAACGGCAGGUAGUUGCUCUCAAUGACGAAACAGAUUCCCAAUUCCAUCUCUCGAGAGUAUCAGCACCGUAACUAAAGUGAGAGGCUUAAAAUCACAUAGAAUAAGUGGAAUCUCAUGCAAGUUGAAAUUUCAUUAUUUGAAAUUUCAACUUGGUUCCUACAAAAUUAUGUUGAUGGUAUUCACUGAGAAAUUGACAAAGUAUGAAAUGGUGAAGGCCGUGAAGAUUAGAUGUAGUUUUGCAGUGUUUGCCGCGACUGGUUAGAUUGUAUGCAGUCAACCAGUAACUACCUAAUCCGAAAUAGUGUGACUCUCCAACCAUCGACUGUUGUCUUGGGUAUGAGCCCAACAACUUGAACCCUAAAGGAUACUGAAACUAGUACAAGAGCAAAAGACUUUUUUUUUUUUGAAACGGA
This is a long non-coding RNA of Trifolium pratense (red clover), 990 nucleotides long. RefSeq lists it as uncharacterized. The record is from RefSeq and is a predicted model, not a curated record. The transcript is spliced from 2 exons. NCBI's taxonomy places the organism in Eukaryota, Viridiplantae, Streptophyta, Magnoliopsida, Fabales, Fabaceae.